GUUUAUAUUAUUUUAUGUUCUGCAUGAAUGUUGGAAAUCACGAAUCUCACCUUAAAAAUAGGCAACCUGAAUUUAUCUUUUUAUUUUGAAUUUUGUAUACCAUCUAAAGCAUUAAGAUUGUAUUUUGUUGCCUUAGUCGGUAGAUGAUAUGAAUAUCAGAUAAGAUAGUGCAUCUAAUUUUUCUCAUUAUGUUUAUGGAAUACACCUUGUAUACCAGACAAAUACUCAUAUUGAUGUCUACACGUGCUUAUAUGCAUGAUUUUUCCUAGUAGAUUUGAUUAAUCAAUAUAAAGUGUUCGUUGAUUGCUCCCUUUUUUUUUUUUAUCAAU
Molecule: unclassified non-coding RNA, 329 nt
Filed under: Hevea brasiliensis (rubber tree)
Lineage: Eukaryota; Viridiplantae; Streptophyta; Magnoliopsida; Malpighiales; Euphorbiaceae
Source: RNAcentral